Molecule: ribosomal RNA, 496 nt
Filed under: uncultured bacterium
Lineage: Bacteria
Description: partial 16S ribosomal RNA
Rfam family: Bacterial small subunit ribosomal RNA
Source: RNAcentral
GAUGAACGCUGGCGGCGUGCCUAAUACAUGCAAGUCGAGCGAACAGACGAGGAGCUUGCUCCUCUGACGUUAGCGGCGGACGGGUGAGUAACACGUGGAUAACCUACCUAUAAGACUGGGAUAACUUCGGGAAACCGGAGCUAAUACCGGAUAAUAUAUUGAACCGCAUGGUUCAAUAGUGAAAGACGGUUUUGCUGUCACUUAUAGAUGGAUCCGCGCCGCAUUAGCUAGUUGGUAAGGUAACGGCUUACCAAGGCAACGAUGCGUAGCCGACCUGAGAGGGUGAUCGGCCACACUGGAACUGAGACACGGUCCAGACUCCUACGGGAGGCAGCAGUAGGGAAUCUGCCGCAAUGGGCGAAAGCCUGACGGAGCAACGCCGCGUGAGUGAUGAAGGUCUUCGGAUCGUAAAACUCUGUUAUUAGGGAAGAACAAAUGUGUAAGUAACUAUGCACGUCUUGACGGUACCUAAUCAGAAAGCCACGGCGAACUACGU